Molecule: non-coding RNA, 927 nt
Organism: Dermacentor andersoni
Lineage: Eukaryota; Metazoa; Arthropoda; Arachnida; Ixodida; Ixodidae
Source: RefSeq, a predicted model, not a curated record
ACGUCAGCAUCUCUCAGCUUUUUCUUUCCUCCAUGGUCAGAGCACCCGCAGAUAUAAAAGGCCCGCUUGCACGCACUGAGCAUAGUUACGUAAUCGGUUUUUAGGAAACCCCAUGCUUCUCUUCGCGGUCUCGCAAUGGCGAAAGUUGCUUCCUUUGAAUGUCAGUACUGCGACCGGCGGUUAGCGAACAAUCGCAGUCUGCAGAGGCACAUAAAACUUGUGCACAAAAUCACUCACCCGAAGUACAACUGCGACGAGUGUGAAGUAGCCCUGACUUUGAAAGAACUGGAGUACCGCCAUAUCAGCGUGCAUUUCUUCGAGCCGGAAUAUGAGAGGUAUCACUUUCUGACAAUGCCAGCUUUCAAGUCAUAGAAGGAAAAGGUGGAGAAAGACGCACGCAGUCACUUCAUUGCAAGGACAGGUACAGAGACUUGCGGCCACCUGAAAAAGAAGCAUUUCUACUUCGUCUGUCACCGGUCUGGAAGUUAUGCUUCACAAGCUACAAGUAAACAAAAGCUGAAGCGGCCUUCAAGUGUCAAGUGUGGAAAAAGAUGUUUUGCGGCAAUGGCUGUGACUGAAGACAACACAGGGCACUAAACUUCAGUAAAAAAAAAUUUUAUGAGCCGCACAUUCUAGCAGACAAAAUAAACUGCAAGUACAUUGCUGGAGAAAAAGAAUGUCUCAUGUUGGUCUUGCAUAUAUAAGUUACACUGUUCUACAAUACACUUGGACGAAAAUGAAAGAAAAUGGUGGCACCUAUGGUUUGGAAAAUAUGGUACCUAAAUAUUUUGAAUGCUCAUGAAUCAGCUAUGUGAAUGAAACAUGAUUGAAACAAUCACGAUAAUUAGGCUUAUACCCCUGUCGCACGGCGAAAACUAAUGUCAUUUGAAAAUGAUGACAAUGACGAUAGUAAAAAAAAAAAAGACA